CCUACGGGUGGCAGCAGUGGGGAAUAUUGCACAAUGGGGGCAACCCUGACGCAGCAACGCCGCGUGAUUGAAGAAGGCCUUCGGGUUGUAAAGAUCUUUAAUUGGGGACGAAAAAGAUGACGGUUCCCUAAGAAUAAGCUCCUACUAACUACGUGCCAGCAGCCGCGGUAAUACGGAGGGAGCAGGCGUUAUCCGGAUAUACGGGGUGUGAAGGGGGAGUAGGCGGGUUGGCAAGUCAGAAGUGAAAACCCAGGGCUUCACCGUGGUACUGCUGUCAAAACUGAGGAGCGAGAGUGCAGGAGAGGUAGGCGGAAUUCCGGGUGUAGCGGUGAAAUGCGUAGAUAUACGGAGGAACACCAGUGGCGAAGGCGGCUUACUGGACAUUAACUGACGUUGAGGAGCGAAAGCGUGGGGAGCAAACAGGAUUAGAUACCCUUGUAGUC
This 443-nucleotide ribosomal RNA is filed under the name uncultured bacterium. RNAcentral describes it as "partial 16S ribosomal RNA". It matches the Rfam family "Bacterial small subunit ribosomal RNA", at positions 338 to 795 of the family's 1533-position model. The record is from RNAcentral.